CGGGACGGGUGAGUAACGCGUGGAUAACCUGCCGUAUACUGGGGGAUAACACUUAGAAAUAGGUGCUAAUACCGCAUAAGCGCACAGUCUCGCAUGAGACGGUGUGAAAAACUCCGGUGGUAUACGAUGGAUCCGCGUCUGAUCAGCUUGUUGGCGGGGUAACAGCCCACCAAGGCGACGAUCAGUAGCCGGCCUGAGAGGGUGAACGGCCACAUUGGGACUGAGACACGGCCCAAACUCCUACGGGAGGCAGCAG
This 256-nucleotide ribosomal RNA is filed under the name uncultured bacterium. Its description in RNAcentral is "partial 16S ribosomal RNA". It matches the Rfam family "Bacterial small subunit ribosomal RNA", at positions 98 to 354 of the family's 1533-position model. The record is from RNAcentral.